Gasterosteus aculeatus aculeatus (three-spined stickleback) is the source of this 597-nucleotide long non-coding RNA. Lineage: Eukaryota; Metazoa; Chordata; Actinopteri; Perciformes; Gasterosteidae. The record is from Ensembl.
GAUCUGGAGCACGCGAUGCCCGAGUGCAGCACAGUGGCACAACUUUACGAGUCGAACCGAGGACCGAACACAAAGAAGCAGCUCAUGUUACGACUCAGCGUCCAAGUGUGACUUAUGGGCUCAACGUGAUAAGCGUGAGGCCCGCCGCCUCCCACACUGACAACAUCACACGCGUUAAGUGACCAUUCGCUGCCUGAUCAUCCCCCCCUCCCCCCCUCCCCUUCAUCACCGGCGGAUCGUUGGUCAUCAUUAAACAGGAGCUGAUGAAGACUGCAGGCGGCGACGUGACCGACAUGCGCUCCAAUUAGAGGGUGGUGCGCUGGUGAAAUGGCUGUUUGAAGACACACACUGUUAAAAAUCAAAGGACAAACUACACACACACAUACUCCUCCACCUCCUCCACCCCUUGCUCUAUUAAAUUCUUCCUCUCUCUCCAUUUCUGUCAUUCCUGCACACACACACACACACACACGCACACACCAGGGGGCCCACCUCUUCCCCCACUUUCAUUAAAUCACAAACUGUGGGCCAAUGGGGGCUCUUUGCCAUCGUUAAUCCAGAUUAAACACAAAUCUCCAGUUCUGACUCACACCCGCA